UUUUAGGCUAAAUAUGACCAUGAAACCGAUAGCAACAAGUACCGUGCAGGGAAAGUUGCAAAGAACUUUGAAGAGAGAGUUCAAGAGUACGUGAAACCGCUGGGAUGGAAACGGAGAGAGUUGACGAAAGCCGGUGCUAUUCAACUGUGUCGCGCAAUCGCACUGGGACAUGGCUACCUCUCUGGGGAGCUUGUCUUGGUGGCACGAUACGCGGCGCGUGCAUUUGGUGCCGGUGUGCGCUGAGGGCCUUGACUGAGCGCUCCGAACCGCAGUGUGUUGCCCACUUCGGUGGUGUCUUGCACGUGGCUAGGUGUGCCCGGCUAGGGUUAGCUGCUAAUGCGUUCUCGCUAGGCGUCUGUUGUUGUGCCUCUGUGCGUGCUACGGUGGCGGUCGUCGAAAGGCGACAGGCUAUCGUAGUGUGUAGGGAGGUGGAGCGCGGACGUGGAACGCUUGCUCCUCGGUGUGACCGUCGACCACCCCUCCGACCCGUCUUGAAACACGGACCAAGAAGUCUAGCAUAUACGCGAGUCAUUGGGUGAAAAACCUAAAGGCGUAAUGAAAGUAAAGGCGGCUCGAUCCGCUGAUAUGGGAUCCGUGCAUGAGAGUGUGCGGCGCACCAUAGCCCCGUCCCGAAGGCUUGCCUGGGGCGGCAGG
This 654-nucleotide ribosomal RNA is filed under the name Poikilolaimus oxycercus. RNAcentral's name for it is "partial 28S large subunit ribosomal RNA". It matches the Rfam family "Eukaryotic large subunit ribosomal RNA", at positions 309 to 796 of the family's 3401-position model. Lineage: Eukaryota; Metazoa; Nematoda; Chromadorea; Rhabditida; Rhabditidae. The record is from RNAcentral.